RNAcentral lists this long non-coding RNA (271 nucleotides) under Lathyrus oleraceus (garden pea). RNAcentral describes it as "Pisum sativum (pea) long non-coding RNA (PSAT_LNC021141)". Lineage: Eukaryota; Viridiplantae; Streptophyta; Magnoliopsida; Fabales; Fabaceae. The record is from RNAcentral.
AAUAUAACAAGCAUUAUAGAACAAUAUGUAAUGCCAAGUAAUUAACACAUUAAUUCACCCUAAUCAGACUACGCAUUCAGCAACAGCAAUAUUCGUUCAAAUAUCAUACUCAACAGUAGAUUCUCAACCAUAUUCAACAUCAAUAACACAACACACAAUACACAUAUAAUACUGGAAUACAUCCAUUCAUAUUAUAUGCCAUACAUUCAUUAUGCAAUGAGACUCUAUGCAUGCGGUACCGACUAUUUGUGAACAUAUAGUUCAACCUCAC